This 253-nucleotide ribosomal RNA is filed under the name uncultured bacterium. RNAcentral describes it as "partial 16S ribosomal RNA". It matches the Rfam family "Bacterial small subunit ribosomal RNA", at positions 524 to 776 of the family's 1533-position model. The record is from RNAcentral.
UACAGAGGUCCCAAGCGUUGUUCGGAUUUACUGGGCGUAAAGGGUGCGUAGGCGGUCGGGUAAGUCUGAUGUGAAAUCUCAGAGCUCAACUCUGAAACUGCAUUGGAUACUAUUCGGCUUGAGGUCUGGAGGGGGGACUGGAAUUCUCGGUGUAGCAGUGAAAUGCGUAGAGAUGUGGAGGAAUACCGAUGGCGAAGGCAGCCCCCUGGGCUAAGAUUGACGCUCAUGCACGAAAGCGUGGGGAGCAAACAGG